UGGAGUAUGUGGUUUAAUUCGAUGCAACGCGAAGAACCUUACCUGGCCUUGACAUCCCGGGAAUUUCCUGGAAACAGGAGAGUGCUUUCAUUAGAGAGAACCUGGAGACAGGUGCUGCAUGGCUGUCGUCAGCUCGUGUCGUGAGAUGUUGGGUUAAGUCCCGCAACGAGCGCAACCCUUGCCUUUAGUUGCCAGCAGUUCGGCUGGGCACUCUAAAGGGACUGCCGGUGUCAAACCGGAGGAAGGUGGGGAUGACGUCAAGUCCUCAUGGCCUUUAUGGCCAGGGCUACACACGUACUACAAUGGCCGGUACAAAGGGCAGCGACAUUGCGAGAUGGAGCGAAUCCCGAAAAGCCGGUCUCAGUCCGGAUUGGAGUCUGCAACUCGACUCCAUGAAGUUGGAAUCGCUAGUAAUCGUGGAUCAGCAUGCCACGGUGAAUACGUUCCCGGGCCUU
Molecule: ribosomal RNA, 455 nt
Filed under: uncultured Desulfobulbus sp.
Lineage: Bacteria; Pseudomonadati; Thermodesulfobacteriota; Desulfobulbia; Desulfobulbales; Desulfobulbaceae
Description: bacterial SSU rRNA
Rfam family: Bacterial small subunit ribosomal RNA
Source: RNAcentral